RNAcentral lists this ribosomal RNA (905 nucleotides) under uncultured bacterium. RNAcentral's name for it is "bacterial SSU rRNA". It matches the Rfam family "Bacterial small subunit ribosomal RNA", at positions 8 to 905 of the family's 1533-position model. The record is from RNAcentral.
AGAGUUUGAUCAUGGCUCAGAUUGAACGCUGGCGGAAUGCUUUACACAUGCAAGUCGAACGGCAGCACGGGAGCUUGCUCCUGGUGGCGAGUGGCGAACGGGUGAGUAAUGCGUCGGAACGUACCGAGUAAUGGGGGAUAACGCAGCGAAAGCUGUGCUAAUACCGCAUACGCCCUGAGGGGGAAAGUGGGGGAUCGCAAGACCUCACGUUAUUCGAGCGGCCGACGUCUGAUUAGCUAGUUGGUGGGGUAAAGGCUCACCAAGGCGACGAUCAGUAGCGGGUCUGAGAGGAUGAUCCGUCACACUGGAACUGAGACACGGUCCAGACUCCUACGGGGGGCAGCAGUGGGGAAUUUUGGACAAUGGGGGCAACCCUGAUCCAGCCAUUCCGCGUGAGUGAAGAAGGCCUUCGGGUUGUAAAGCUCUUUCAGCCGGAACGAAACGGUACGCACUAAUAUUGUGUGCUAAUGACGGUACCGGCAGAAGAAGCACCGGCUAACUACGUGCCAGCAGCCGCGGUAAUACGUAGGGUGCGAGCGUUAAUCGGAAUUACUGGGCGUAAAGCGUGCGCAGGCGGAUUGUUAAGCAAGAUGUGAAAUCCCCGGGCUUAACCUGGGAAUGGCAUUUUGAACUGGCAGUCUAGAGUGUGUCAGAGGGGGGUGGAAUUCCACGUGUAGCAGUGAAAUGCGUAGAUAUGUGGAGGAACACCAAUGGCGAAGGCAGCCCCCUGGGAUAACACUGACGCUCAUGUACGAAAGCGUGGGUAGCAAACAGGAUUAGAUACCCUGGUAGUCCACGCCCUAAACGAUGUCAACUGGUUGUUGGGGGAGUGAAAUCCCUUAGUAACGAAGCUAACGCGUGAAGUUGACCGCCUGGGGAGUACGGUCGCAAGGUUAAAACUCAAA